Long non-coding RNA from Gasterosteus aculeatus aculeatus (three-spined stickleback), 4132 nucleotides. NCBI's taxonomy places the organism in Eukaryota, Metazoa, Chordata, Actinopteri, Perciformes, Gasterosteidae. The record is from Ensembl.
AUCCAAUAUUCUAAAUCAGCUACACUUUCUUUUAGGUUUCUAACACACAUGUUGCUGCUGUCCCGGUCCACAGCAAAGCUUCAUCCACUGCAGGAGAUACAACGGUUUGGGAUUUUAAAACUAUCCCUUUAAGGCCAAUAAAAUGAAAUGUGACCUUUGCUUGGCAUCAUUCCAUUACUGUCACGUUCUCUUGUCUUCUUCUCUUAUCUUUUUUUGCUCGUUCAUCAUUUCACUCUCCUCCCUCUUGCAUCGAAACCACCGGUCAGGAUCACGGACGAGCAGGUCGCCGCCGAACAUCCUCGCUGCCCGAGGACCAAACGGGACCCGCGGCCCAAAAAUAAGCCGGGACAUUUUUUGGGACGCCUUUGAUGGGCUGCAGGAAACAACUAAUCCUCAUAACAAAUGUCCUGAGUGAAGAGGAAGAUGGUUUUGGACCAUCAUCAGAGCGAAGAGCGAUCCGGCCAUGUGCUCUCCGUAUGCUUCACACAGCUGACUCUGGAUUUCCGCUGUGAUGCUUCAAACGGGCACGUCUCUCCCCAUCAUUCUUCCACUAUCGCCGCCUCUUCACAAGUUUAAAGCCUCACGGACUCAAAGAGAGCCGCAAAGGAAAAAGUAGAUACCAGGAAGUGUGUGUGUGUGUGUGUGUGUGUGUGUGUGUGUGUGUGUGUGUGUGUGUGUGUGUGUGUGAGAGAGGCAGGAUGGAAUGAGGGGAAGUCAGACCAGAUGAGAGACAUCGACUGACGCAAAAGAGAGAAGGUUGAAUUCACCUUUAUGCAGGUUGCUCUAUUUGAUGUUUAACAAGUAGCUGCACAAAAAAUAUUAUUAUAUAUAUUAAGUAUUUAAGCGAUAUAUUGAGCUGUUUAUCUGGGAAAUGUUUCGGAUUUAGGAGAUACAUUUUAGAGCGUCUUAAGAGGAGAAAACACGAAAGGGGAAGAAAAGUUAGCGGAUCGAUUAUCGGAGGGAUGCAAAGCUCAAUCCUCAGAUUCUGCUGUGAGCAGUGCAGCCUGAGGUGAAGAUACAAAAAGUAACUGGUUCCAAACGCAAAGGUUUAACGUAACGAGGAGACACAGACGGGAGACGAGGCCAAAGGGCUCGGGGGGUCAUUGCAGGGCGCUCUGCGUCUCAUCCGAGGCUCCGGGCGGAUUAAGACUUCGCUCUGCGGCAUCGGACCGUCUGCAGGUCGUUUAUCAGACGAGAUGUUGGGAGACGAGAUGACGCACGGCGAGGGACGUUGCACCACAGAGGCUCUCGUUGCUUUUGACGUUGAGUUAUUAUCGAUUUAACCACCAACAACGUGGAUUCAGGAAGACUUGGGACAUGGAAUUGAUUGAAUUUAGUUUUCAUUGUGUGUGUUUGUGUGUCUUUACGUGCCCAAAUACAGGAUCUGGUUUUACAAAUCUGUGACUCAAGUGCACUUUAUGAAAUGGACUUUCUUGUAAAAGUAUAAUUAGGCAGAGUUCCUGGUCGUGGUCACGAAUGUGCCGAGGCGGCUGAGCUGGUGGCCCUUCUUCUGCUUGUUCCACAGACCGAAGUCAAAGCAAACAGGACUGAGACACAUUAAAAUAAAAGCAUUAUCGGCAUAUCUUCAGGUGAGAGGGAGAGUUGUAACAUCUCCCAGCUGCUAGAGAGCAAACCGUGAGGCAUUACUCUCGGUUUGAGUCUGCGAAACGAGAGAAACGUCCUGGUUAAGGAACGCAGAGGUUUAUGGAAUCCUCCAGGGAGCGCGGAGCAGCACUAACAUCUUGUCUCGUGAACAACACUCACAACACUUGACAACAUUACACGGAGGAGCUUUUUCCCCGGGAGCUAAAUCAGUGAAGUAUUUAUCUCCUCAUUUUCCAGAUCAUUUGAACCUUUGUGGAGGCGCGACGGAGAUGUAAACACAGCCUCCCACCGUGGAGCGGAAAAUGUCUCCUGCUCUAUUUCGUGUUCCUCCACAGGCAACAAAGUGGGUCCCUCAAACUGACGCUUAAUACUACAGCGUGGGACGAGAAGAACAAUUGGUGGCAUCCAGCUUUUUCUCCUUGAUCCCUUCUUGGAACAGAAGAGAGCACCUGCACACCUUUACAAAGGCUGACUCCAUGUCGCCUCGUGGUCCUCUGGAUGUCCCUGUGGAUGUCCCUCUAGAUGUCCCUCAGGUUGUCUCUCUGGAUGUUCCUCUGGAUGUCCCUCAGGUUGUCUCUCUGGAUGUUCCUCUGGAUGUCCCCCUGGAUGUCCCUCUAGAUGUCCCUCUAGAUGUCCCUCAGGUUGUCUCUCUGGAUGUUCCUCUGGAUGUCCCUCAGGUUGUCUCUCUGGAUGUUCCUCUGUAUGUCCCUCAGGUUGUCUCUCUGGAUGUUCCUCUGGAUGUUCCUCUGGAUGUCCCUCAGGUUGUCUCUCUGGAUGUUCCACUGGAUGUCCCCCUGGAUGUUCCCCUGGAUGUCCCUCUGGAUGUUCCAGGAGAUGAGGAGCAGAGGACCAGCAGCAUCCUCGCUGCACAGCAACGUGUGUGUGAUGCACAUAAACUAGCAUGUAACUCUACAUGUGAUUCCCAUCGUUGUCACAUAUUUCCAGUCAGUAUGUUGAUUGUUUGUGGAAAUGAAUUCGGGACUUGAAACCCUUUCCACAGACUCCAUGGGCCACAUUGUGUGCGGUAUAAACACAGCUAGAUACACUCGACCACACCAGAUAUUGCUUUCUGUCACGGAAACAACAUCCUGAACACGCAGCACUGAAGACAAAGGAGAAUCGAGAUAAUCCAGUUUGCAGGAGAGAACAACGUUGUAGAAAAGAGCUCAUAAAGAGACGUAAUCCAAUCUGAGAAAUUACAGAUUCCUCCCUUCAUAUCAAUGUGUGUGUGUGUGUGUGACUGUGUGCACGAGGCUCAUAUAAGAGGAGGAGCCGCAGAGAGAAAUCUGAGAUCUUAAAUCAUGUAGCGUCUGUGAGGGAAUUUGUUGGCGGUGUACGCGAGAUCAGCUGGUAGCGACACAAACACGCCUCACCUUCUCGCAUCGAGCUCGACCGUACGAGAGCUGUUUGGACGAGGACAUCACGUCUCACUAACGUUACAUCUGGGGGCUGUUGCGUGCACAGUAGGAAAGCUGCACGCUUUCCUUGAAGGUUUGACAGCAUUUCGGAGUUAAAUCCCUUCGGUGUGACAGUGAGGGUUACAUUUCAUUUUAGCUUUGGCACAAAACCUGAAUCCAUCUCUGUGAAAGGAUGAUUCACACCUCCACUAAAUGAAUUAAAGUGGUGAGAACUGAGCCCUGUGUUGUUGGCACACAGUCUAUACAUUAAGUGAGACGUCCACGGAACCUCGUGAAUAUUCAUGCGGAGUCGUUUGUCACGCUGUUCACUCGUGCAGAAACGAUCUGGAUCAGUGCGCCAACAAGCUGGUUUUCCUCUCGCAUGAACACGCUCGCAGAUUUCCGGUUUCUUCUUUUUACUUUCACACGUUAUUUCCCGUAUUUUAAAACUUUUCCUCAUCUUACUCGCUGCUGAAAGGAGGUGGACUCACUCCAGGAUGAAAUGGAUCGGCUUGAUUAACAUGAAGCUAAUUGGCGUUGACCUCCCGUGAGCCCCGCUGGGACGGCGAGGCGCGUGGAACCGGACCUCACGAGUUACACACGAUCCAACGAGCAGCCCGGAGCUCAGACCAGCUAUGGAAUAUAAGUGUUUGGGAAGUUCUGGAAGAGUUUUCGAGAGUGACUCGAGCAUCAAGUGUGUGUGGGACCGCGGCUUUUGCGAGUCCGUCGUGGUCGCUGGCCCCUUCGUACACAAACUCUCUUCCCAGAAGAGAAUCGGCCUCGUUGAGACGAAAACAAACCAAACGAUCUGCGGCAUCUUUCUUCAUCGCGCGUCUGAUUGAUGGCGUUUGAGCUGCAGCGGAGCGGGAAAACAUUUGGAGGCACACGCAGGCGUGACUUGGUGUGCCUGGGCAGAGUGAGGCGUUCGCUCAGGAGUCAUGAGGGCACCGCGUGUGCAAAUACUACCGCGUGUGCAAAUACCCGUUGGGUUUCGCCGAACGCCUCCCUAUCUGGCAGCGCCGAUUUGAAACAAACACUUUAAGAAUCACUUGCAAAUCGCUGUUAAGAUUUAUUGAGACUGUGGGUGUGUGAGUGGGUGUGAGUGGGUGAGGGGAGGGGUUGGCAUGGGG